This is a transfer RNA of Puccinia sorghi, 113 nucleotides long. It matches the Rfam family "tRNA". From Rfam's summary of the family: Transfer RNA (tRNA) molecules are approximately 80 nucleotides in length. NCBI's taxonomy places the organism in Eukaryota, Fungi, Basidiomycota, Pucciniomycetes, Pucciniales, Pucciniaceae. The record is from Rfam.
GCCUGGCUAGCUCAGUUGGUAGAGCAUUCGACUCUUAUGGUCAAGAGCCUCCCAGCCUCGCCUGACCCGGUGUAGGUAUCGAAUUGUCGUGGGUUCGAGCCCCACGUUGGGCG